Myzus persicae (green peach aphid) is the source of this 1200-nucleotide long non-coding RNA. RefSeq lists it as uncharacterized. The record is from RefSeq and is a predicted model, not a curated record. The transcript is spliced from 3 exons. NCBI's taxonomy places the organism in Eukaryota, Metazoa, Arthropoda, Insecta, Hemiptera, Aphididae.
UAGUAAGUAUCUAUAAUGCUUAAUACAACAUACAUUUUUUUAUACUCGAUUACUUUGCAAGGACGUGAACACAUAAUACAACGCAAUUAACCUAAAUACUUUUGUACUACUAUAAAUCUAUAUAUUUGAAUUGUUUUUUUGGCAACGUUUAUCUAAAAUUUAGAAUAUAUAUUAUAUAAAGCUAAGUAUCCACAUUCAACCCAAAGUUGGAUUUCAAUUUUAUCAAAAAUAAAUAAAUGUUUAAUGUGGAUGGAUCUUUCAUUGGAUUAGUGACAACGAACUGAACUACCGAUGACGGUGACGUUACGAUUUAUUAUUGAUAUUCAACGUAAUAACUUUUUUUAUGGAUCCGUAGAAAACUCAAUGGAUCGAAUAUCAAACAAUGCCGUAUUAUAGACGUUUGGGCAAUAAUUAAUCAUUUUACUCAGAAUAUGAAGAAGGACAACCGCUAAGCGGAAAUUACAAUUGAGUUUAUUACCAGACACACCAAGGGAGUUAUCAUUUCAGGGUGACGCAUAUAUUUUGAAAUAGUUUAUUUUACUGAAAAAAAACGUACUGGGAUAUAAACGAGCGCGCAUCUGCUUUUAGUCUGAACAACUUGUGGAUAACUAACCUAACCUAUAUAUUUUCGCACGGAAUUGUUUAUCAAAUGCAAUAAUUGUCACAUUUAAUUUCAAAAUAAUAACCCACCUGCGUAAAAUUCUGCUGUGCCAAGAUGAUAACUAAUAUCGAACGGAGACAUCUACACACAUUAUUUAAUCCAAAAGAACGCAUUCGUGCAAGCGUCCUGAAACCUGGAACUGUGCUCAGUUUGUCAUUAUAAUAUAUUCGACUUACACUCAGGAGCGUCUUCGGGGGAGGAGUUCAGUGAGAAAUUUGUCUCCCCCCCAUGAGCUCGUUUUUGAUAAAUAAUAUAUGUAUAGUGUAUAAUUACAUUAAACUACUCCACCCAAAAAAAAUUAUUGACCUUGUAGGAGGAACGGCACUGAUAUAUUUAAAUUUACUAUUGAAAAUCAAUCAAAAUUUACUUUAUCAUGCAGAAAUGCAGUCUGUUUUAUAAUUUUUACCACUAGCCUAAUUCAAAGCUUAUGUCAAGAAUAGUAAAAUGUGUGUGAUGCAUAUAGUGAACGUUUAAUAACCCAAUUCUUAGUCUGUUCAAAUUUCGUAUACCUAUUCGUAUAACUUCUUAAAACAUCGAAC